RNAcentral lists this ribosomal RNA (247 nucleotides) under uncultured bacterium. RNAcentral's name for it is "partial 16S ribosomal RNA". It matches the Rfam family "Bacterial small subunit ribosomal RNA", at positions 109 to 353 of the family's 1533-position model. The record is from RNAcentral.
AGGAACGCGUGGGUAACCUGCCCUAUACAGGGGGAGUAACGUGUAGAAAUGCACGCUAAAACCGCAUAAGCUACAUUGGUCGCAUGACGAAGGUGGAAAAACUGAGGUGGUAUAGGAUGGGCCCGCGUCUGAUUAGCUAGUUGGAGAGGUAAAGGCUCACCAAGGCGACGAUCAGUAGCCGGUCUGAGAGGAUGGACGGCCACACUGGAACUGAGACACGGUCCAGACUCCUACGGGAGGCAGCAUG